GACGAACGCUGGCGGCGUGCUUAACACAUGCAAGUCGAACGGAAAGGCCCUGCUUUUGUGGGGUGCUCGAGUGGCGAACGGGUGAGUAACACGUGAGUAACCUGCCCUUGACUUUGGGAUAACUUCAGGAAACUGGGGCUAAUAACGGAUAGGAGCUCCUGCUGCAUGGUGGGGGUUGGAAAGUUUCGGCGGUUGGGGAUGGACUCGCGGCUUAUCAGCUUGUUGGUGGGGUAGUGGCUUACCAAGGCUUUGACGGGUAGCCGGCCUGAGAGGGUGACCGGCCGCAUUGGGACUGAGAUACGGCCCAGACUCCUACGGGAGGCAGCAGUGGGGAAUAUUGCACAAUGGGCGGAAGCCUGAUGCAGCAACGCCGCGUGCGGGAUGACGGCCUUCGGGUUGUAAACCGCUUUCGCCUGUGGCGAAGCGUGAGUGACGGUAAUGGGUAAAGAAGCACCGGCUAACUACGUG
This 468-nucleotide ribosomal RNA is filed under the name uncultured bacterium. Its description in RNAcentral is "partial 16S ribosomal RNA". It matches the Rfam family "Bacterial small subunit ribosomal RNA", at positions 28 to 507 of the family's 1533-position model. The record is from RNAcentral.